Molecule: ribosomal RNA, 497 nt
Filed under: uncultured bacterium
Lineage: Bacteria
Description: partial 16S ribosomal RNA
Rfam family: Bacterial small subunit ribosomal RNA
Source: RNAcentral
GAUGAACGCUGGCGGCGUGCCUAAUACAUGCAAGUCGAGCGAACAGACGAGGAGCUUGCUCCUCUGACGUUAGCGGCGGACGGGUGAGUAACACGUGGAUAACCUACCUAUAAGACUGGGAUAACUUCGGGAAACCGGAGCUAAUACCGGAUAAUAUAUUGAACCGCAUGGUUCAAUAGUGAAAGACGGUUUUGCUGUCACUUAUAGAUGGAUCCGCGCCGCAUUAGCUAGUUGGUAAGGUAACGGCUUACCAAGGCAACGAUGCGUAGCCGACCUGAGAGGGUGAUCGGCCACACUGGCACUGAGACACGGUCCAGACUCCUACGGGAGGCCGCAGUAGGGAAUCUUCCGCAAUGGGCGAAAGCCUGACGGAGCAACGCCGCGUGAGUGAUGAAGGUCUUCGGAUCGUAAAACUCUGUUAUUAGGGAAGAACAAAUGUGUAAGUAACUAUGCACGUCUUGACGGUACCUAAUCAGAAAGCCACGGCUAACUACGUG